AGCUGUGCAGAGCUAAUCCCAAAGCAGGGUGUGCUUAUAUCAGAAACACAUGAUGAUUUUGACUGUUUUCUGACUUUCCUUACUGCCUUUCCUCCAGCAGAUGAGAGGAGAAUUGAACUGAAACAUCCAGCAAUGAUUCAUAACAGGACUGAUGCUUCACCCUUUUCAGCAAGGUUCCAGGGAAUGAUGGGUUCCCACGUGAGCCGCAGUCAUCAUCCAAAUACCACUUUCCCCUGGCCUUUCUGAAGUACCUGAUGCCUUGGAGCAUUCACAUAUGUAUGAGGCUUUCCAAAGAUGGUAAGAGACAUAAUUUCCAAGAAAACAUCACUCCUUUCUUCUUCCAAGAAAACAUGGUACUUGGGAUUCCUGGUUUCCUCUUCUGACUUAGACAUUGAUUCACUGUCUGGCCUUAGGUUUUUCAUGCGCAGGUAACUCCACCAUAUCUCCUGUUAGAUGUUAAAUGCUGCAAAUUCCAUCUGUUAUGAAGUGCAGAGACCAUCAAUCACUGUCCACCCGUGCUCCUGGAGUGUGCCCUAAGCGUGGCACACUUGGAAGUGCCCUGAAGUUUUCACAGUGACUUUAGUUGAACACAGGGCAGGAGAAUGAUCACUGUGUGCCAAGUUUUUUUCCCCAAUCACCAAAUGCCAAAGUGAGAAGAACCACAUGAAGGGAGAAAUUUUCCUGUGUUUCUCUGUUAGACUUGAGAAGUUGCAUCUUGCUGAACACUGCACUGAAAACAGUCCAGAAGAAUAUGAGACCAGAACCUGACAACUCCAUAAUUCAUAAGUAAAUAAUACAGUGUGAGAUAAAUGGCAGGCACGUCUGUGAAGAGAACUGGAAGUUUUCACUCAUUGCUCACCUCUCUCUCGGCACUGAGCUGAUCCACAGAGCUGAUCCAUCCAGGUUUGUCAUCCUUCCUGUAUCCAGCAGUUGCUUUUGGAGUCAGAAGCUGCAGGAGACAGAGUUGGGAUGUAUGUUCACGUUUCAUAUAAAAAGGAAAAAGCAAAGCAGGAAGGAGAAUUGUCACAGGUUUCUUAGCCUCAAAUACUUGUUAAACUGACUAAGCUAUUUGGGGAAUACUUGCAGCUUUUCAUACUGCUUUGAACAGCUGGUCAGAGGAAAAGGAAGAACUAAAAACUUUAUCUACUGAUAGCUAUUGUGCUGCCUUGCUAAGAACCUGCUGCUGUGGCCUUGCUUGCUUGCAAAGAUGUGCCACAAACAAUUCUAAAAAAACUAAAGCAGGAUGUAAGAAGUGUGCAGCACAUUCAUAGGAGGUGAUGUUUUCAGGAGUCCCCACGGCAGCACCUGGGGAACCUUGGUUUCAGGUUUUCCAGCUGGGGCAUGAGGUACAGUGGGAGGAGUGUAAUCCAAGGAAGACAAAGGGGAGAAGAAAUAAUCUUCAUAUGGAAAAAUCUUAUUUUGGCAUAGAAAAUCAAAAUUAUUCCAACAAAAUUUUCUUCCAGCCUCUGGAAUCAAUGAGCACCCAUGGCCCUCUCCAGCUCCUAACAGGGCAGAAAAUAUCAGACAGGAUCAGAGCUAUAGCACCAGGCAACUAAGCUUUUUUUCAUUAAUUCUAUUUUCAUAAUGUCCAAAAUAAAAUUAAGCAUGUGGUUAGCUGAACAGGGUGGGCACGUUGGCAUGAGGAGAGAUACUGUUAGGUUCUAACUUGCAAAGUGGUCUUUUUUUGCCCCAGGAUCUAGUUUAUGUAUGUUAAAUCUUUGUACAGAACAGCUUGCAAAUUUGAGGUUUCAUAAGGUCUUUGUAUGUAUGUGCAUACAUAUAUAUACAUACAUAUUUAUUUAUGUAUUUAUAUAAAAGGCAUUGUACUUUUAUUGUACUUUGUAAUAUAUACAUUUACCUGCCUCCCCACAUCUCAUAUGAAUUUUCUGAAUUAUUUGCCCUAUGUUUGCUUUUCUGUGAUUCCAGAAUGACUCAAAGUGAUCCUACUGAGCAAAUUUCCCAGAGUCAGAGUCCUCAGAUUGGUGUUCUGUUGGGGACCAUGCAACACCCAACUGCCCAGAUACUUUUGGGAAGAAUGAAGGGCUUCAAGCACAAUAACAACUAAGCAGAAGCAUUACUUAGACUAUCCAGUGAACGAAAUGUGGCUUAUGCCAUCUGAAGUCAGUUUUGUGUGGCAUUAACACAUAAAUAUUUGCAGCGAAUUUACGGCUCUGGGAUGUCCAAGGGCAGCUGCUGGAUCACACCGUGAGGAUUCCUGCUGAGCUCCUGUUGUGGAAGAGCUGGCACAGACAGGAAGAAAAGCUGCUUUUAAGAAAUAGAAACACUGCAGUUGUUACAAAGUAGACAAGGAGAAAGAGGACAACUGGGAACAUUAAAAGGAGGCAAGUAUUUUUAUUUUCAUUUUGGUUUUGCUACCCUUCCAACUAAGACAUGACCUCACUGGUUUCUUUCCUUCAAGAAUUUUUUAUUCAUAUUGAGAGAAUCCAGGGUUUCUAUGAAACUCAAAAUGCUAAAAUAAUUCUUUAAGCAGUAUAUAAAGAAUUCACUGUCUUGCAAAGGCCAAACAAGUUCAAGUGCCACCAAAAUAAUUCACUGCCCUUCUCUGAUGGACACUAUCAUUGCUGAGGAGGAUGGCGUUUGCACAGAUUUAUUGCUGGCAAAAUACCAGCAAAGACUGACUGGUGUCCAGCUGGGCCGUGGACUGGAAGCACUGCAUGAGAAACAGAAAUCGGAGUCAAGGGAACACAUUAUGGAAGGGCUCUCCUGCCACAAAGCCCUGCCAUCAACUGCUGUAACAAAUCCACAGCCACACGUAGCAGUGUUGUCAGUUCAUACCACUGUCCACGUGGAACAGCAGUCAUGACUGCAGCUGAGUGUGUCCUCAGCUUCAGAACUUUCUAAACAUCAGUAGGAAAGGAGGCAGAGUGUUGAACAGAGAUUGAGUGUUUGUUCUUCGAACAGCACCUGCUUAGGAGGUGGAAGCAGAGCUUUCACUGACAGCUUCCUCAGCAAAAUACCAAAAGGGUUUCCUUAAGAGAGCCUGUGGGAAUCCAGAGAAGACCAAAGAAAAGGAAGGGAGCUCCAUUGUCUCUGACAGCUCAAAGAAGUGGAGUGAAGAGCAAUUGUCCUGGUGAAGAACCCGCAGAGGAGAUGGGAUUCUGCACAGAAAACACUAAAUCUGACAGGCAAUCAAGUCAACAUAUCUAACACCUAAAGAAUCUUUCUGAAGCCUUUCUCAGUUUUCUUUCUUUUUGGGGGGGUUGUGAUGUCUGAAUAGAGUGAAUUUGAAACUGAGCCAAUGGUCCUUAAUCACAGCAAGAUUUUACAGAGAAGCCUGCAAUAUGAGCAAGAAAUAGAGAGACAAAUAUUCUGCUUGAAAGCAGCCGAUUAAACAUGUAACUUCUUUAAUGGGGAGAUGUGAGUAAACAGAAUCCUAAGUGGAAAUUCAAUAUAUUUUUGUAUCAUUUCAUACACCAAGAUGUAACCUUUAUAGUUCUCCAAGUGUUUAGAAAGCUGGAUGCAUAGUUCUAGAACAGACCUUGUCCUACAGAAACUGCUGAGCACAGCUUUUAUAUUGUUGUAUCAAUGCAAUUUAUUUACUGUGAAAUGUUCACAUUAUUGAAUCCUAUUUUUCUCCCAGCUGGUCACACCAUGGAAAGCAAACCAUCCAGUUUAAAUAAAUAAAACAAUACCAUUGUGCUGGUAAGUCAGAAGAUAGUAAUUCUGUGUAAUGGAAAUGCAAAUAUGAAUGCAAUUGUUAUUUCAUGGAUAAAUGGAACUUGCAAAAAGGUGGUGCAAUGUUUUUCCCCUCUUUUGUUCAUCUCAUCAUUAGGUCACACACUAACCCAUCCUUCAUUCACCAUAUUCCAUACACUUUAGUGCACUUCUGGUGGGAACAAAUGGUAUUUCAAAAGGGUUUAUGAACAUUUCUUUUCUGAUCUAAUAGGUUGGUGAGCAGAGGUUGAGGCAUCGAAUUACCCAAGGUCUCCAAAAGUUAUUUCAUAGACACAUCCUCUUUGCUGAAGAUUACUUCAGAUAAUAGCUGUUUGCCUGUGGGUCUCUUUUUCACGUUGGAGUGUAUUCUCAGUACAACAUCCUUUUAGGCAGCUCUCAGCACUCCAGACAAUAAGCUACUUACUCACUCUGUCCUCCCUCUAUUUUUGCACUCAUUAAUUUAAGAACAAAUGUAUAAACAGUCUUAAAAUUCCAAUAAACAUUCUUAUUGCCAUAAUUUUUUUAGUGCUCUAAAAGAUGGUGAAUAUUUUGCUAAUAUUGUUUCUUUAUUCUUUUUUUUUUUGUUUUUCUAUAAACACAAUGAAGUUUAGAAUGGUCUGGGGUUAUGAGAAUCAGGAUUGCAAAGUUAAAGGUAGGCAGAGGGAGAACAUAAUUAGUGAGGGGCAGGAGCUGAAGGCUGUGCUAGGCAGAUUUCUGAACCACGAUGCAAUGCAGAAUGAGGAACUGAAAGCCUGGAUUUCAUGGUUCUCAUAUUAAUCCUCCUUUAGUACUUCUAGUAUGUGCACUGUCCUUGAAAAGAGGGGCCUGUGCACAGAACAUUCCCCCACCUCAUCUGUGGUGUGCAGCUCUCAGGGACAGGGGAGACUCACUCCGAGCAGCAGCUGCCUUUCUUGGUGCUUAUCCAAGGCAACUGGAACUGUGAAACUUCUGAGGAUCACCUUUCACAUUAAAUCUGUUUUCUUCAGGAAAUAAAUUCUCACUUCAGCUUGGCCUGUGCUAUAUAAGUAUACAAAUCAAGAAGUGUUUCCGAUUGAAAGGGCACACAGAGAUUGUUCCAGGCUACUAAUACCAUCCUUGUGUGAAACAAAGAGAGAUAACCAAGAGGGGGCUCAAAAGUGAUAAUCCACACACAAAAAAGUGCUAUUUUUCCCAAGACAGUACACCUUCAUCACCACUUGCUCAGAGAAAUAGUGCUUUCUUUGUAUUUAGUGACACUUACAAGGAUUACUGCUAAAAGAUGUAAAAGGAUUCAAUACCUGUAUUAAGGCUACAGUAUUUGAAAAUAAGCUGAUAAAGAGCUCAAAGAUCUGGAUGAGAACAGCAAAAUAUUUAUAUUUCAACACACAAUUAAUGCUGCAAUGGCAGAAGAAAUUUCAAACUAUCUUCUAACCAAUGACUUUUACAGUCUUAUCCUCAAUAUCUUUGAAUCUGAACAUCAUUUUAUCUUCCAGCUGAGUCUGAUUCAAUUCCCCCAUAAAGGACAAAAAAACUUUCCAUUAGUUUCAGUGUGGGCUAAGUGAGGUGUCAUGGACAAGGUGAAACAGAUAAAUGAGCAUUUACAGAAUCAGGUAUGAGCAUUCCUGAAUCAAAAAGGGAUGAUAUGGUAAUAUAUAGUACCCUAUGGGAAUGCUGAGCACCUGGAGAAUGAUUUUCAUGAGGAUGUGUCCUGCCUUACAGCUGGGACUGCCUCCUCUGAGGUCAUCACAGUGUAUUGUAAAUACACAGCCUUAUGUAAACUACCCCACAUCAAGACAGGGACGAAAUGGCACCACAAAAAGUGGGGUACCCGAGUCUCUGCUGGGUUCUGCAUUGCAGAAUGAAGCCUGAACCAUUUCAACAUCCUCUUGGCCCAGGAGAAUAUCUACACACCUGAAAGGAAUUCAUCUGGUGAUGUCCCAGAUGGAUGUGCUACACCAGUGAAGAAGGUUUUGCCUUCAAGAAGCCUUUCUGGGAUCCUGAGGACACCUGGCACGGCAGGAGGAAGUGACUCAGCAGUUGUUUCAGUGCUUGUUCCUCCGACCCCCACCCCCCUCCGACCCCCUGAAAAUGCAUUUGUUUGAGUCUUAUUCAACUUUUUCAUCACACAUUCAACAGAAAGAAGAAAAAUCUUCCCUCGAACAAUGUUCUGUAUUAUUGAAGGCAAUUUGGGGAAAAGAUCUUGUAUCUAGGACAGGGUAGAAUAUAAAUUAACAGGGAAAGGACACGAGGAAGUUUAACACAGUGUAUAGAAACCAGGAUUUUUUCAUAAUUAAAUUCUUGCUUUUUAAAGAGGCAUGGACUCUUUCUCCUUCUUCACAGAUUUUCCACUGAAAAUUUCAUAUUAGCAGUCACAAUAUAGGGAGAGAAGAGACCAGAAGAUCCUGUUGCUCUGUAAUUGCACCUAUUUUUCUCUCUCCUUCAUGAAACAUUAUGGUGAACAAAUAAAUAUAAACUUCACACUUGUGGAAUGAUAUCUUCUUAUAUGCAGAAAUUAAUUAUAAAUCCUUCCAAAGUAAAUCCUUAUGAUCUCAUCAAAUUACUGUAUUAAAAAUCAUCAUAAAAAUAUCUUUUCAUGUGAGACUCUCAAGUAUAUGAAAUGUAAAUUAAUUCUCAGAAAACCAGCCCGAAUGAAUGCAUUAGGCCUAUUCUGUGGGUGGUUAUACAGACACUUUGAAAAUUUUUUGUUCAUAUCUUCUAUCACCUACAGUGGCACAAUAGUAAAACUCUCAAGCCUUCCAUCUAAUUUUCUGCAACCGUGGCACAGGAAUUAGACUUUGGAACAAAAAUACUCUGAGAUUUCAUUAAAUUGUUUUAUUCCUGAGCACCUGAAAUUAAAAAAAAGAAAAAAAUCCACAAAAUACUCAAUAUGUUCUUUGACCAAAUAACUGUUUAGAGAUUGAGAUGAAGGGAUCAUCUCUAUUUACUCUGAGAAAGCUAUACAGCAUACAUAAAAGCAAGGUGAACAAAUAUGUACUAGCACUAAUCCACAAUUCUACCAAAGUUUUGAAAAUACACUUUCCUAGAAGAUUUAAUACUUUAUCUAAAGGUAGGCAGGUAUUUCAGACAGAGGCCUGUCAUUGUUUUCAUUAACUUAAAUGAUGGAAGACAGUACUCAUGUGAAAUUUACAGUGUACAUUAAACCAUCAAGGGUAAAAACAUUCUUGAAGCCAGCAUUAAGAUUCAAAAUGAUCUUGAUAAAUUGGAAAGAUGCUCAAGAUUCAACGAGAUGACAAUGGGCAAGUGGCAAUGUCCUAUUCAGCAUCACAAGAGAACAGAGCUGAAGUGCCUGUGAACAGUGCAGGACUGUGGCAGAAGUGUGAAUCUCACCUGCCUAUAUAGUAACAGCACUGGCAUAUAUAAAACAUGGGAGGUUAUCAUUCUUUGGUGCUUGGCACUGAUAAAGGUGUCAUCCAGAGAACAUCACUCAGGACUAAAGUAAUCUUGAAAAAAAAAAAAAGUUAAACAAAAGACUGAAAAACUGUAUAUAAAUUGGCAGGAGUUGAGAAGCAUCAAGAACAACAGGAGUUUUAACAAACAUCUCUGCAUAAAGAUAGAAUAAAUUGUAGCUUUUGUUUGUUUGUUUGUUUCCAAAAAAGAGAGACAGAGAGAAGAAGAAGAGAGAAGGGAAUAAUGACAGUUUUGAUAGUGAGAGUUUGUUUUUAAUCUAUAAUCCAUUCAAUAUCAAAAGAUGCAACUGAGGACAAACCAACCCCACAAGACUGAAGACAGUGAUGUGUUUAUUUUGCUUAGAAGAUCUAUAAAAUGGGUGUAGAACCAAACAGCCACAAGUGCAAGAUACAAAGCAACUCAGUCCUUCCUCAAGACAGUUCUGUACCAUUUUUUACUUCUGAGAAACACCAUGAUACUUGUGCAGAGCAACAGGGAAGCAAAACAGUGGAACUGACAUUAAACAUACAUUAUUCUCCAAAUGUCAAAAAGAAAAACUAUCUACAUUAUUCACCAGGUUAAUAAUAGUCAAACAAAGACUAUUCUUUCCCUUUUGUGACUCAACCUACAAAAGCUCUCUCAUUACUAAGGACAAGACACCAGAAUUAAGAUUGCAUCCACUCUCAACAACAAGCUCCACACAAUUCUCUCCAGCUGCUCUUUCCUACAAUUCUGACACACAAUAUAGGCUAAGAACUUUUAGAUGCUGAAUCCCAUGUAAUGCUGUUAACUGCAAUAAGUAUCUCUGCUGACAUAAGGCAUAUUCAGUCACAGUUAAUAAAGGCAAGCAGUAAGCAUUGGAUUGGAAAAAAAUACUUAACAUUCCAAGGUGGGGUGGGUUUUUUAAUUUUUCAAAAAUGUCUGAUUUGUUCAUUUAA
Molecule: long non-coding RNA, 8000 nt
Organism: Corvus hawaiiensis (hawaiian crow)
Lineage: Eukaryota; Metazoa; Chordata; Aves; Passeriformes; Corvidae
Exons: 13
Source: RefSeq, a predicted model, not a curated record